ACGGGAGGCAGCAGUGAGGAAUAUUGGUCAAUGGGCGGAAGCCUGAACCAGCCAAGUCGCGUGAAGGAUGAAGGUAUUAUGUAUUGUAAACUUCUUUAGCUGUGGAGCAAUAAUCUCCAUGUAUGGAGAGAUGAGAGUACACAGAGAAUAAGGAUCGGCUAACUCCGUGCCAGCAGCCGCGGUAAUACGGAGGAUCCGAGCGUUAUCCGGAUUUAUUGGGUUUAAAGGGUGCGCAGGCGGCUUUCUAAGUCAGUGGUAAAAUCGUGGUGCUCAACGCCAUCCCGCCAUUGAUACUGGAGAGCUUGAUUGCGGUCGAGGUUUGCGGAAUUCGUCGUGUAGCGGUGAAAUGCAUAGAUAUGACGAAGAACUCCGAUUGGGAAGCCAGCUUACUGUAGCGCCACUGACGCUGAUGCUCGAAAGCGUGGGUAUCGAACAGGAUUAGAUACCCUGGUA
This 453-nucleotide ribosomal RNA is filed under the name uncultured Bacteroides sp. Its description in RNAcentral is "partial 16S ribosomal RNA". It matches the Rfam family "Bacterial small subunit ribosomal RNA", at positions 341 to 792 of the family's 1533-position model. The record is from RNAcentral. Lineage: Bacteria; Pseudomonadati; Bacteroidota; Bacteroidia; Bacteroidales; Bacteroidaceae.